This 265-nucleotide ribosomal RNA is filed under the name uncultured bacterium. RNAcentral's name for it is "partial 16S ribosomal RNA". It matches the Rfam family "Bacterial small subunit ribosomal RNA", at positions 524 to 789 of the family's 1533-position model. The record is from RNAcentral.
UACGUAGGGGCAAGCGUUGUCCGGAUUUAUUGGGCGUAAAGAGCGUGUAGGCGGCCAGGUAGGUCAGCUGUGAAAACUCGAGGCUCAACCUCGAGACGCCGGUUGAAACCAUCUGGCUAGAGUCCGGAAGAGGAGAGUGGAAUUCCUGGUGUAGCGGUGAAAUGCGCAGAUAUCAGGAAGAACACCCGUGGCUAAGGCGGCUCUCUAGUACGGUACUGACGCUGAGACGCGAAAGCGUGGGGAGCGAACAGGAUUAGAUACCCGU